GACGAACGCUGGCGGCGUGCUUAACACAUGCAAGUCGAACGGAAAGGCCCUGCUUUUGUGGGGUGCUCGAGUGGCGAACGGGUGAGUAACACGUGAGUAACCUGCCCUUGACUUUGGGAUAACUUCAGGAAACUGGGGCUAAUACCGGAUAGGAGCUCCUGCUGCAUGGUGGGGGUUGGAAAGUUUCGGCGGUUGGGGAUGGACUCGCGGCUUAUCAGCUUGUUGGUGGGGUAGUGGCUUACCAAGGCUUUGACGGGUAGCCGGCCUGAGAGGGUGACCGGCCACAUUGGGACUGAGAUACGGCCCAGAAUCCUACGGGAGGCAGCAGGGGGGAAUAUUGCACAAUGGGCGGAAGCCUGAUGCAGCAACGCCGCGUGCGGGAUGACGGCCUUCGGGUUGUAAACCGCUUUCGCCUGUGACGAAGCGGGAGUGACGGUAAUGGGUAAAGAAGCACCGGCUAACUACGUG
RNAcentral lists this ribosomal RNA (468 nucleotides) under uncultured bacterium. RNAcentral's name for it is "partial 16S ribosomal RNA". It matches the Rfam family "Bacterial small subunit ribosomal RNA", at positions 28 to 507 of the family's 1533-position model. The record is from RNAcentral.